RNAcentral lists this ribosomal RNA (550 nucleotides) under uncultured bacterium. RNAcentral's name for it is "bacterial SSU rRNA". It matches the Rfam family "Bacterial small subunit ribosomal RNA", at positions 355 to 896 of the family's 1533-position model. The record is from RNAcentral.
UAGGGAAUCUUCGGCAAUGGACGGAAGUCUGACCGAGCAACGCCGCGUGAGUGAAGAAGGUUUUCGGAUCGUAAAGCUCUGUUGUUAGAGAAGAACGUUGGUAGGAGUGGAAAAUCUACCAAGUGACGGUAACUAACCAGAAAGGGACGGCUAACUACGUGCCAGCAGCCGCGGUAAUACGUAGGUCCCGAGCGUUGUCCGGAUUUAUUGGGCGUAAAGCGAGCGCAGGCGGUUCUUUAAGUCUGAAGUUAAAGGCAGUGGCUUAACCAUUGUACGCUUUGGAAACUGGAGGACUUGAGUGCAGAAGGGGAGAGUGGAAUUCCAUGUGUAGCGGUGAAAUGCGUAGAUAUAUGGAGGAACACCGGUGGCGAAAGCGGCUCUCUGGUCUGUAACUGACGCUGAGGCUCGAAAGCGUGGGGAGCAAACAGGAUUAGAUACUCUGGUAGUCCACGCCGUAAACGAUGAGUGCUAGGUGUUAGGCCCUUUCCGGGGCUUAGUGCCGCAGCUAACGCAUUAAGCACUCCGCCUGGGGAGUACGACCGCAAGGUUG